AGGACGAACGCUGGCGGCGUGCCUAAUACAUGCAAGUCGAGCGGGGCUACCUCCGGUGGCAACACUGGUGGUAGCCGAGCGGCGAACGGGUGAGUAACACGUGAGGAACCUGCCCCGAAGACCGGGAUACGCCGGGGAAACCUGGUCUAAUACCGGAUACCCUCAUUGGAUCGCAUGGUCCGAUGAGGAAAUGGAUUCCGCUUCGGGAGGGCCUCGCGGCCUAUCAGCUAGUUGGUGAGGUAACGGCUCACCAAGGCGGCGACGGGUAGC
Molecule: ribosomal RNA, 270 nt
Filed under: uncultured bacterium
Lineage: Bacteria
Description: partial small subunit ribosomal RNA
Rfam family: Bacterial small subunit ribosomal RNA
Source: RNAcentral